This 435-nucleotide long non-coding RNA is filed under the name Macaca mulatta (Rhesus monkey). RNAcentral describes it as "lncRNA (ENSMMUG00000059729.1)". The record is from RNAcentral. Lineage: Eukaryota; Metazoa; Chordata; Mammalia; Primates; Cercopithecidae.
UCCUCAUUUAUCCUAGGAUGGCAGGACCUGCAGAUUCUUGAUUAGAUUUUAGAUGCAAAUAAAGAACUUGGAAUUAUUCCCCAAGAAGCUCCUUCUUCUGAAACCAAGAGGGUCUGACAGAGAUGACAUCAACAGAAGCUCAGGCUAGAAGGAAGAUGAGGUAGCAGUGGGCCUGGUCUGCCCCGCCCCCAAGAGUGACUGGCAGCUCACACAGCCUGAAUCGACAAGAUUUUAAAAAACAUGUAUGUUUUGGUUUUCACAAAUUCUCCCACCUGUUGGUAAGUACUUUUGAAAACUUAAAUCGUAGACUCAUUCCUUUAUGACAGUUUCCAACAGAUGUUCCCUAUAUAAAAUCUUCUCAGACUACCCUUAACUUCCUCUGAAGCCCAGGGCUCAUUUCCGUCUGUAAUUCUGACAUCUACCAUCUUACAGGGG